ACAUACAGGCAGCCACAUCUCAUUGUGUUCUAAUGAGAAACCAUCCUACAUCUAUCCCUCAGCCAAGCAGAGAUGCACAGAGGGACAUGGCUGAGAGCAACACUUGGGACAAGGUGUAUUGAAGUCUAUCAACCACCAGCAAUGUGCUGCAGGAGGACCACAGAACUACAGGGCUGCCCUCUUCCGAACACUCACAUAACUGUUAGAGCUACCUGGCACCAGGCUUGGGCAAUGCCUUCUGUAACAGAAUGAGAAGUCUCCAGAGCCUGCUCAGAGGAUUUUCAGGCGGCUGUUUUAAUCGGGUGAAUCCUCUCAUGUGGUAAAAGUGACGUUGCUAUGGAAACCAUAUCUGCCAGGAGAGGUGACACCAGCCUGCACGCUGCCGGAGAGGGAAGCGACGAUGGGAUGGCUCAGCCACUUGGCACAGCCCCGACCUCACAGCGAGAGCUCAGCCCAGUGUUGCAUCUUUAUUAAAAGGAACUGCCUAGAAGGAUGCUUCUCAUUUCAGUUUACGCAAGCACACCAUGUCUGGCUGAUGUCUGUGGCACUGGAGGAUGGGUUUGCCAGGACCCGGCUUUCCUUGGGGGCACCGCUGGAGCCCUGA
This 604-nucleotide long non-coding RNA is filed under the name Numida meleagris (helmeted guineafowl). Its description in RNAcentral is "lncRNA (ENSNMEG00000016670.1)". The record is from RNAcentral. Lineage: Eukaryota; Metazoa; Chordata; Aves; Galliformes; Numididae.